RNAcentral lists this transfer RNA (76 nucleotides) under Candidatus Altimarinota bacterium. RNAcentral's name for it is "tRNA-Thr". It matches the Rfam family "tRNA". Rfam says of the family: Transfer RNA (tRNA) molecules are approximately 80 nucleotides in length. RNAcentral also lists the same sequence under 1 other name. Lineage: Bacteria; Candidatus Altimarinota. The record is from RNAcentral.
GCCAGAUUAGCUCAGUUGGUAGAGCAUCGGUUUUGUAAACCGCAGGUCAUCAGUUCGAAUCUGAUAUCUGGCUCCA